RNAcentral lists this ribosomal RNA (459 nucleotides) under uncultured microorganism. RNAcentral's name for it is "bacterial SSU rRNA". It matches the Rfam family "Bacterial small subunit ribosomal RNA", at positions 346 to 794 of the family's 1533-position model. The record is from RNAcentral.
GUGCAGCAGGCGCAAAUAGUCUACAAUGGACGAAAGUCUGAUAGUGCGACGCCGUGUGUGCGAUUAAUUCCUUCGGGAUGUAAAGCACUUUUCUAUGAGAUAAAAGCUCUUUAGGUUAAUAGCUUAUUGAGACGGAUAUUAUUAUAGGAAUAAGCUCCGGCUAACUCCGUGCCAGCAGCCGCGGUAAUACGGAAGGAGCGAGCGUUGUCCGGAUUUACUAGGCGUAAAGGGCUAGUAGGCGACUAAUUAAGUUAUAUGUUAAAUCCCACGGCUCAACUGUGGUCCUGCAUGUAAUACUGGUUAGAUAGAGUACUGUAGAGGAAGGCAGAAUUCCUGGAGUAGCGGUGGAAUGCGCAGAUAUCAGGAAGAAUACCAAAAGACGAAGGCAGCCUUCUGGGCAGUUACUGACGCUGAAUAGCGAAGGUGUGGGUAGCGAACAGGAUUAGAUACCCCGGUAGU